AAAAUGCAGUCGACGGCAGCACGGGGGCAACCCUGGUGGCGAGUGGCGAACGGGUGAGUAAUACAUCGGAACGUGUCCUGUAGUGGGGGAUAGCCCGGCGAAAGCCGGAUUAAUACCGCAUACGCUCUACGGAGGAAAGGGGGGGAUCUUAGGACCUCUCGCUACAGGGGCGGCCGAUGGCAGAUUAGCUAGUUGGUGGGGUAAAGGCCUACCAAGGCGACGAUCUGUAGCUGGUCUGAGAGGACGACCAGCCACACUGGGACUGAGACACGGCCCAGACUCCUACGGGAGGCAGCAGUGGGGAAUUUUGGACAAUGGGGGCAACCCUGAUCCAGCAAUGCCGCGUGUGUGAAGAAGGCCUUCGGGUUGUAAAGCACUUUUGUCCGGAAAGAAAACUUCUGCCCUAAUACGGCGGGAGGAUGACGGUACCGGAAGAAUAAGCACCGGCUA
This 450-nucleotide ribosomal RNA is filed under the name Burkholderia sp. MRh3(14). RNAcentral's name for it is "bacterial SSU rRNA". It matches the Rfam family "Bacterial small subunit ribosomal RNA", at positions 52 to 499 of the family's 1533-position model. The record is from RNAcentral. Lineage: Bacteria; Pseudomonadati; Pseudomonadota; Betaproteobacteria; Burkholderiales; Burkholderiaceae.